This 497-nucleotide ribosomal RNA is filed under the name uncultured bacterium. RNAcentral's name for it is "partial 16S ribosomal RNA". It matches the Rfam family "Bacterial small subunit ribosomal RNA", at positions 28 to 507 of the family's 1533-position model. The record is from RNAcentral.
GAUGAACGCUGGCGGCGUGCCUAAUACAUGCGAGUCGAGCGAACAGAUGAGGAGCUUGCUCCUCUGACGUUAGCGGCGGACGGGUGAGUAACACGUGGAUAACCUACCUAUAAGACUGGGAUAACUUCGGGAAACCGGAGCUAAUACCGGAUAAUAUAUUGAACCGCAUGGUUCAAUAGUGAAAGACGGUUUUGCUGUCACUUAUAGAUGGAUCCGCGCCGCAUUAGCUAGUUGGUAAGGUAACGGCUUACCAAGGCAACGAUGCGUAGCCGACCUGAGAGGGUGAUCGGCCACACUGGAACUGAGACACGGUCCAGACUCCUACGGGAGGCAGCAGUAGGGAAUCUUCCGCAAUGGGCGAAAGCCUGACGGAGCAACGCCGCGUGAGUGAUGAAGGUCUUCGGAUCGUAAAACUCUGUUAUUAGGGAAGAACAAAUGUGUAAGUAACUAUGCACGUCUUGACGGUACCUAAUCAGAAAGCCAUGGCUAACUACGUG